Molecule: ribosomal RNA, 467 nt
Filed under: uncultured bacterium
Lineage: Bacteria
Description: partial 16S ribosomal RNA
Rfam family: Bacterial small subunit ribosomal RNA
Source: RNAcentral
ACGAACGCUGGCGGCGUGCUUAACACAUGCCAGUCGAACGGAAAGGCCCUGCUUUUGUGGGGUGCUCGCGUGGCGAACGGGUGAGUAAAACGUGAGUAACCUGCCCUUGACUUUGGGGUAAAUUUAGGAAAAUGGGGCUAAUACCGGGUAGGAGCUCCUGCUGCAUGGUGGGGGUUGGAAAGUUUCGGCGGUUGGGGAUGGACUCGCGGCUUAUCAGCUUGUUGGUGGGGUAGUGGCUUACCAAGGCUUUGACGGGUAGCCGGCCUGAGAGGGUGACCGGCCACAUUGGGACUGAGAUACGGCCCAGACUCCUACGGGAGGCAGCAGUGGGGAAUAUUGCACAAUGGGCGGAAGCCUGAUGCAGCAACGCCGCGUGCGGGAUGACGGCCUUCGGGUUGUAAACCGCUUUCGCCUGUGACGAAGCGUGAGUGACGGUAAUGGGUAAAGAAGCACCGGCUAACUACGUG